This 694-nucleotide ribosomal RNA is filed under the name uncultured bacterium. RNAcentral describes it as "bacterial SSU rRNA". It matches the Rfam family "Bacterial small subunit ribosomal RNA", at positions 32 to 715 of the family's 1533-position model. The record is from RNAcentral.
AACGCUAGCUACAGGCUUAACACAUGCAAGUCGAGGGGCAGCAUGGUCUUAGCUUGCUAAGGCCGAUGGCGACCGGCGCACGGGUGAGUAACACGUAUCCAACCUGCCGUCUACUCUUGGACAGCCUUCUGAAAGGAAGAUUAAUACAAGAUGGCAUCAUGAGUCCGCAUGUUCACAUGAUUAAAGGUAUUCCGGUAGACGAUGGGGAUGCGUUCCAUUAGAUAGUAGGCGGGGUAACGGCCCACCUAGUCUUCGAUGGAUAGGGGUUCUGAGAGGAAGGUCCCCCACAUUGGAACUGAGACACGGUCCAAACUCCUACGGGAGGCAGCAGUGAGGAAUAUUGGUCAAUGGGCGAUGGCCUGAACCAGCCAAGUAGCGUGAAGGAUGACUGCCCUAUGGGUUGUAAACUUCUUUUAUAAAGGAAUAAAGUCGGGUAUGCAUACCCGUUUGCAUGUACUUUAUGAAUAAGGAUCGGCUAACUCCGUGCCAGCAGCCGCGGUAAUACGGAAGGUCCAGGCGUUAUCCGGAUUUAUUGGGUUUAAAGGGAGCGUAGGCCGUCUGUUAAGCGUGUUGUGAAAUGUAGAUGCUCAACAUCUGAAUUGCAGCGCGAACUGGCAGACUUGAGUGUGCGCAACGUAGGCGGAAUUCGUGGUGUAGCGGUGAAAUGCUUAGAUAUCACGAAGAACUCCGAUUG